UAUGUUUUAGUAUAUGAUGUACAGGAAUUUUUGAUUUUUCUGGAAAUAGUUUGAUUCUGUUAAACAUAA
This 69-nucleotide transfer RNA is filed under the name Amarygmini sp. ACP-2013. Its description in RNAcentral is "tRNA-Gln". The record is from RNAcentral. Lineage: Eukaryota; Metazoa; Arthropoda; Insecta; Coleoptera; Tenebrionidae.